GACGAACGCUGGCGGCGUGCCUAAUACAUGCAAGUAGAACGCUGAAGGAGGAGCUUGCUUCUCUGGAUGAGUUGCGAACGGGUGAGUAACGCGUAGGUAACCUGCCUGGUAGCGGGGGAUAACUAUUGGAAACGAUAGCUAAUACCGCAUAAUAGUAGAUGUUGCAUGACAUUUGCUUAAAAGGUGCAAUUGCAUCACUACCAGAUGGACCUGCGUUGUAUUAGCUAGUUGGUGAGGUAACGGCUCACCAAGGCGACGAUACAUAGCCGACCUGAGAGGGUGAUCGGCCACACUGGGACUGAGACACGGCCCAGACUCCUACGGGAGGCAGCAGUAGGGAAUCUUCGGCAAUGGACGGAAGUCUGACCGAGCAACGCCGCGUGAGUGAAGAAGGGUUUCGGAUCGUAAAGCUCUGUUGUAAGAGAAGAACGAGUGUGAGAGUGGAAAGUUCACACUGUGACGGUAGCUUACCAGAAAGGGACGGCUAACUACGUG
Molecule: ribosomal RNA, 495 nt
Filed under: uncultured bacterium
Lineage: Bacteria
Description: partial 16S ribosomal RNA
Rfam family: Bacterial small subunit ribosomal RNA
Source: RNAcentral